This 318-nucleotide long non-coding RNA is filed under the name Gopherus agassizii (Agassiz's desert tortoise). RNAcentral describes it as "lncRNA (ENSGAGG00000003187.1)". The record is from RNAcentral. Lineage: Eukaryota; Metazoa; Chordata; Testudines; Testudinidae.
GGAGAUUUCCCGUGACGGAUCAGGAAGCGGCUUGUGCCACCUUCGCUGAGGUCAGACGACCAGUCAGAGGCAGGGAUGGCGCGAUGAGCAGGUGAAGCGGCCAAUCCGAGAGGAGGGAGGGCGCGAACUAAGAUGGAUAUUGAAGACCCUGAAAUGUCUUAUCGAAGGGGGAACAAAAGAAUUCAGAUGAUUGACAAAGUUACAGUUAUAAGGUGAACAUCUCUGAAGUGAAAGCUGCACCCCUCAGAAGUAUCACAGUAUUGUAUCUGUCUCGGACGUGAGCUCUGUCACUCCAGGACUUCACUGAUUUUGAAAAAG